This 93-nucleotide transfer RNA is filed under the name Microcaldota archaeon. Its description in RNAcentral is "tRNA-Asp". It matches the Rfam family "tRNA". From Rfam's summary of the family: Transfer RNA (tRNA) molecules are approximately 80 nucleotides in length. Lineage: Archaea; Nanobdellati; Microcaldota. The record is from RNAcentral.
GCCUCGGUAGUGUAGGGCUUCACCUGAAGCGCAAAAUGGUUAGCAUACGAGACUGUCACUCUCGCGACCCGGGUUCGAACCCCGGCCGAGGCG